AUCCCAUAAGACAGGAAGUCAGUGGUCUGGCAAGGGUCUUCUAAAGAAAAGGGGCAAACUUACAGUCAGAAUUGUAGGAGAGAUUGAUAACACUUUGGAAAACAGUGGAGGGUCCUCAAAAAACUAAAAAUAGAGCAAUCCCACUCCUGGGCAUAUACCUGCAGAAAAGCAAAAAUACCAAUUUGAAAAGAUACAUGCACCCCCAUGUUCAUAGCAGCAUUAUUUACAAUAGCCAAGAUAUGGAAGCAACCUAAGUGUCCACCAACAGACGAAUGGAUAAAGAAGACGUGGUACAUAUAUAUAUAUAAAAUAUACAUAAUAUAAUGGAAUACUGCUCAGCCAUGAGAAACCAAACUUUUGUGCCACAACUACUGAGCCCGCGUGCCACAACUACUGAAGCCCUCGUGCCUAGAGCCCAUGCUCCGCAACAAGAGAAGCCACCGCAAUGAGACGCCCGCGCACUGCAACGAAGACGAGACCCCACUCGCCACAACUAGAGAAAGCCUGCAUGCAGCAACGAAGACCCAAUGCAGCCAAAACUAAAAUUAAAAAAUAAAAUAAAAAAGAAUGCAUAGUCUAGUGCAAAAGUAAUAAUGAUGUAUUGUGGAGUUAAUAUCAUAUAUAGAAACAAAACAUGUAAACAAUAGCACCAAGGAUGGGGGGUAGAAAUGGAAGUCUACAGUUGCAAGAUUCUUACAUUAUAGGUGAAGUAUAAUAUUUGAAGGUAGACAGGUAGGUUCAAGAUGAAUAUAGUAACUAGAUAAUUCACUAAAAAGAAUACAUGUUAUGCAAAAAUAUAAAAAAGAAUAACAACUAGGUUGUGUUGCACACAACUGUUUUAUCAUAUUACAAUUAUGAGGCAUAGGGGUAAAAAUAGUCCUGAAUUUUAUUUGGUGGUGUUUUAUUUAAGCUUUUUUAUCUAUACAUAUACAUGAUAUAGGCCCACACUUUUUUGGGGGGACUCUUCAUUAGAUUUUGGAAUUAAAUAUAAGCUACAGGUGAAAAAUAUCUCACACUAUUUUAGUGAUAAGGAAUCUCAUAUAGCCAUGAGAUGUUUAGACUAGUAUUUCCCAAACUUUUCUGUUUUAUAGACCAGCAAAAUAUACUUACCAGAUAAAAAUCAUCUGUAUCACCAACAUUUCAUUUAAAAAGGACAUUUAACACCAAAACUUUUCACAAUAAAAGACUAUUGUUUUGGUUGUCUUUUAUGAAGACCUCACUUUGGUGCACUGGUUUUUCUAAUGAUGGGUGAAAACUUCAGCACCAGCUCACGGUGGCUCAUAAUCCAGUGUUCGUUACCCGUGGUUCUGACCUUCUCCUCUCCCCUCCAUCCCAGUUAGCUGGUUCAUUAGCCAGAGGUGGCCCAGGUGCCCAUCGAAAUACUCCUUGGUCCCUCCUGAAGUAUCUACCACCUGUGCAGACUGUCUCCUGGUUCGCUCCUGUCUUUUUCCAUGUUUCUCAAGUCCCACCUUUUCUUCAAGACCCAACUUACAUCUUUUAUUCUAUCCCCCCCCCGCGAUGAUCCUCUUUUUAAGUGAAGCAUUUCAGAGAGCUCUUACUUGGUUCUUAUCAUUCCUUCAAGAAACUAGACCGGGGCUUCCCUGGUGGUGCAGUGGUUGAGAGUCUGCCUGCCGAUGCAGGGGUUCGUGCCCCGGUCCGGGAAGAUCCGACAUGCUGCGGAGCGGCUAGGCCCGUGAGCCAUGGCCACUGAGCCUGCGUGUCCAGAGCCUGUGCUCCGCAACGGGCGAGGCCACAACAGUGAGAGGCCCGUGUACCGC
Molecule: long non-coding RNA, 1778 nt
Organism: Phocoena sinus (vaquita)
Lineage: Eukaryota; Metazoa; Chordata; Mammalia; Artiodactyla; Phocoenidae
Source: Ensembl